This 28-nucleotide small RNA is filed under the name Bombyx mori (domestic silkworm). Its description in RNAcentral is "ovarian small RNA-29252". Lineage: Eukaryota; Metazoa; Arthropoda; Insecta; Lepidoptera; Bombycidae. The record is from RNAcentral.
UCGUCGGUGUCGGCAGGGAGGCCCCGGA